AUCUAGCUGACGAGUCCCAAAUGGGACGAAACUCGCUUCCGGGAU
This 45-nucleotide non-coding RNA is filed under the name Schistosoma curassoni. Lineage: Eukaryota; Metazoa; Platyhelminthes; Trematoda; Strigeidida; Schistosomatidae. The record is from RNAcentral.